Molecule: long non-coding RNA, 645 nt
Organism: Vollenhovia emeryi
Lineage: Eukaryota; Metazoa; Arthropoda; Insecta; Hymenoptera; Formicidae
Exons: 4
Source: RefSeq, a predicted model, not a curated record
GAUAGAGGAACCAGAAGAAAAUUAGAUUUACAAGAAAAGAAGAUUAAAAUUCCGAUUCUUCAGCACAUACAUACAAACAACUUUCGUACAAACAAUGAUUCGUACUUGAGUGAAUAUUGUUUUCGUGUACGAAAAUUGUUGGCUCAAGAAUUGAAAUUUCUAAAAGAAAAGGAAGCAAAAGAAGAAUGACCCGGAGGACGAGGAUGGAAAACAAAAGGCACUUUUAAGCGCCAACUGGUGAAUGCCAACUGGACUGACCCAUUAUUUAGCCGAAAGUUGAGACCAACUGCACAUAGACAUUUAAUUGAAAUUCCUAUAUAAUAGAAAUCCAAAUUUUUGCUUAUUUCCUGGAAGAAGGAAGAAGAAAAAUUGCAUAGCCAAUCCUCCUUUAAAAUAUUAGAUGUUUCUACGUUUGAGGAAUUUGAGUACUUGCUUGGAGAAGAGAGCUACUCAGCUCUAUUAGUAUAAGAAAGGUGAUGUCGAUUCACCUCGAUUCCGAUUAAUUAAGUUUUCGGAAUUUUAUAAUUUUUAUAAUUAUAUAAUUGAAUAGAGGUCUAUAUAGAAUGUAGAUUAAUAUAAUAGAGCACUUCUCUAUGGUUAUACAUACAUAUAAUAAAUUUGAUUAAAUAAAAAUAUAAAUAUAUA